This 1454-nucleotide long non-coding RNA is filed under the name Homo sapiens (human). Its description in RNAcentral is "non-protein coding lnc-MAP1LC3B-3:23". Lineage: Eukaryota; Metazoa; Chordata; Mammalia; Primates; Hominidae. The record is from RNAcentral.
UGGGCAGCGCGAUGGGAAGGAGCCCACCCACGACUGUGGAUGUUUAACCAAAGCCUUCCUGUAGGAAAGCAGGAAAGACUGGGUGGCCUGAGGGCAAGACGACAGUACUGCUGCUCAGAAAAGGUGACCAAAGUGGCCAACAUUGCAACCUGGACCUGGGACUCAAACCCAAAUCUGUCUGAUUCCUAAACUGCAAUCUUCCCACCAGAUUCUGCGGCCUCCCACUACCUGAAAAAUGGUUUUUCUCUGUCUCCUCACCUAGGAAUGGAAAUAUCACUGAAACUAAAGAAAACGACCCUCCAGUCCAGUGGGUGCAAACUGGGGACUUCAGCUGGAUUCACCCCUCAGGUGGCUUCUGUUUGGCCACCACCUUGUUUGGUAAAGCUGACAGCAGCCAAGUCAUAGUCCCUGAAACAUGCAGCAGAUGAAGACAGCGGCCCUCGUUGGACAAAAACCACAUCUGCUUCCCUUUAAAAGAAAUGACAAACAGAAUAGCUGCUCACCAUUCACAGCAACAGAGUCUAGAACUUAAGAUGCUCCAAGCAUCUUAACACCUUCUCAACUCAACGCACCAACGGAAGGGUCACCAUGUAUAAAGAAAAAUGUGUUCUUCCAUUUAAUGUUUUCCCUUUCAGUAGGACCCCAUCACCCUUUUUUAAGUAACAGCUUUAUUAAGAUAUAAUCUACACCAUGCUAGGCAUGUUUGUGGCUAUUAUCUCAUUUAAUCCAUAUCAUCAUUCCAUUGCACUAAUUUGAAAACCAAAGCUCAGAGAAGUAAACGUUCUCAGAGCCACACAGUUGCUCCAUGGUAGAGGCAGGAUUUGAACCUGGAUCGCCCCAAGUCCAAUCCCAAAGAUACUUCCACUACUCCAUGUUUCUCGUGCAGUAGAUGGCAGCUGCCCUUUAUCAUUUUAUUAUGGUAUGUUUUAGAGACAGCAAGGGCCUGUACUUUUGUUUGGCUUACAGAAACUCAAAUGCAUGCAAUGUAUCACUUCACCCAUGCAUAUCCCUGGGUUGAAAAUAUGCCCACAUCUAUGGAACACCUAAGAACAAGCAUUACACAAAUAAACCGUUUCCCUAAAUUUCCCUGUGAUUCUUGGAGCUACUGAGACAACACUCCAAUAUUUCUGUAAUUUUUAAGCCCACAAAGGAAAGUUAGUGUAUAACAAAGGCCUUGGUGGCUUUCAGCUGCAUCCUAAGCCUCCUCUCGUUAAAUUUCUUAAUAGACUGGCCUCAUAUCAGAGCCCAGGAGGAGAUGGUCCACCUAGGAAUAAGGGUUCUAAUAGUUAACUCUGAAACUGGAAGCAAGCCAGUGACAAGGAGUUGAAACUAAAGAACACAGGAGACCUCCGUAAACGUCCUUCCAGCAUAGACCUGAGGUUCUGAGCAACUGUGGGUAACGCACAAACCAUUAUUAAAACCAAUAAAAUACCAUUAUUUUACAAAAAAUUAAA